This is a non-coding RNA of Triticum urartu, 123 nucleotides long. Lineage: Eukaryota; Viridiplantae; Streptophyta; Magnoliopsida; Poales; Poaceae. The record is from Rfam.
CUAAUACUCCCUCCGUCCGGAAAUACUUGUCCUAGAAAUGGAUGUAUCUAGACUUAUUUUAGUUAUAGAUACAUCCAAUUUAUCCAUUUUCAGAAAAAAUAUUUCUGGACAGAGGAGUACCUA